CUCCCGUAUCUAAUAGAUGACACAAAGUUAUCAGUUUAGUUGGCAAGAGCAAAAGUCCACAUCAAUUGUGAGGAUAUGAUGAUUGGCAUACUUACCCCCUGAUGAUGCCUCACUUCUUCAGAAUUUGAGGCUGUUCUUGAUAUGUCAGGUAGGUCCAGCUAUCGAGUCAAUAACUAUAUUUGGUAGUGUGUGAUGAUACAUUAAUAAUCACACUUGAAUAUGUUACCUAAACCUGUUUUGCUUUUGUAUUUCUUCCAUGUUCAUCCUUCCUUUGCCUCCUCAAAUUCUUCUUUGGCCUUAGUCCUUAUAUUUCUGUCCUCUGCAGGUUUUGUGCUGUUUGCCUCUCGGGUAGGUCCCUGCAUGAAUCUUACCUUCGGCAGUGAGCUGAGAAAAUUAGCCCCACCUUUUUUUGCUGCCCUACUAUUCGAUGAAAUGCUUGUGCCCUGAUGGAUUCCGUUCUUUUUUUGUUGGUGUUCCUUCUCAUCCUGCCUGCUUUGCAAGUCUUUGUUUCACCUAUUGUCUCGGUUCAAUUGAUUGUCCAUGCCUUGGCACGUUCUGUGUAUGAUGUAAAUUCGGAACAAUGGAUUUGGUUUUCCGAACCAUAAAACUUAUGUAGCUUGAAUUAGCAGAUUGCACCAUGAAAAGACAUACUUUCCUUUAAAAAAUAAUGUGUAUCAGUACCUCUUUAGACCCUGCUGCUUGCGAUCUGAACCAGUAUAUACUUUUCUACAGUUUAGAUGUUAUAUCAGUUUGCAGAUGAAUUCGUGGCUAAUACCAGCAUUGUGAAUUUUUCAUGUUUGUCUUCCUUUAAACCACCAUAAAACUUAUCUAGCUUGAAUUAGCAGAUUGCACCAUGAAAAGACAUAUUGUCCUUUAAAAAUAAUGUGUAUUAGUACCUCUUUAGACCCUGCUGCUUGCGAUCUGAACCAGUAUAUACUUUUCUACAGUUUAGAUGUUAUAUCAGUUUGCAGAUGAAUUCGUGGCUAAUACCAGCAUUGUGAAUUUUUCAUGUUUGUCUUCCUUUAAACCUGAUGCAUGCAUGUGCAUGAUGCUCGUUGAUGACUAUUCCAUUUGUUUUACUGACCAAUUUUUGAGAGGGAGGGUGGAGGGAGUUGGCUCUUGUGUUUGUUGAUUGCUUUGCAGAUUUAUUGGUGUUUGGUUCAGAUAGAACAGCUCCAUUUGCAUUAGCAACUGUUUGUGGAGUCCCUCGCUGCUACAGGUAUGUUUGCUCUAUAGAAUCUAUAAUAUGCAUUAUGUGCUACUGCUUUUUUUAAUUAAACCAUGAAAAAUUUAUGAUAUAGAAGAGAUUAUAAGGGGCGUCUCACGAGCACAUGAUAGCGAGAGAAUUACUCUCUGACAAUGCCUUAAUUACAGAAUGGGGUGAAGAAUGCAAGGAAGUUGCCCAUUGUCUCUCGUCACCCGACCAAGGAUAGGUGAGCGGCCAUGGAUUUUUUUUCACUCCUCCGCUCAGUGCUUGCCUCAAUCAUGUUAAUCCAUAGCGAUUUACUUUGUUCGUUCCAGGUUUGACUGACAGAGGAAGUCAAUUGAGGAGUAUGUUGACACCAGAGUCCAAGACCAUGGGUGAAGCAUUUUAAUCAAUCUGUUGUUUUGGUAAGUUUCUUGCGUUCUUAGGAUUUAAAAUAACUGCAAGGAUUGUAGAGUUCUAAUGGUUGUGUUGGGUGUUUGCGGUGGCGAGGCUGAGCAGAUCAAACUGUACGCAUGGACCGUGACUAAUGGUGUGCCAGUGUGGUGGUGCCUGCCACACACUCACACAGGUUCUUGGUACUCUCUGUAACCUGUAGAUGAUGGGCGGCGAAUCCGGCAACCACAGAUCCAUUCUCCUGCAUAAUUUUCGUUUUUUCAUUUGAUUUGGUACAAGGCCUACUCAGAAUGGGUUCCCUGAUCUCAAAAUUGUCAGUUUUCUUGCCUUUAGUUUAUAGGUACCUUAACAAAUACAUGUAUUACCAUAUUGGCAGUCAGCACCAUGCGUCAUUCAUUCUUCAUGAUCUCAUAUUUGAGGUUAGCAGUUCGAAGUAAUGUAAGAGCUUGCAUGUUUAUAGUUCUAACUAACUUUUAGUUUAGCGUAGGAUAAGUCUUCCAUGAAUUCUUAGUUAGUUGUUUAUUUUUGCUGGCUGUGCAUGACACUGCAAUUUUUUCAUAAUUUCUUUAAAAGUUAACUAUUUUCUUAUCUACAAUUAACUGGUUGUUCCUCCUAGCCGUUAGCAAGUCUGUCGUCCCUGACCACCCUGUCAGCCAUCUAUACAACUGUGGUUCAUGCCUACGUGCUAUCCGCUCCUAAAUUCUCACACCAUGUCAGGUGUUUAGAAGUGAUGAUCAUUGUGGUCUUUAGUUGUCAUGGCUGUAAUCCUAGCGCAUGGGCUUUUGCGGGCUGGUCCAACCGGAGUUGGUUGAUGGCAGGGGCUCCGCUCCAGCUACCGUAUGGCUGAAGAAGGGAUGCAAAUGGCAAGAAUUUUGAGAUGCAUAAACUCCCAUCUUUGAAUCAGAAACAGAAAAUUGUUAGUUUUCUCUUUUCUUAGUUAUGCUACCCUGCUCCACGUAGGUUUUACAGUGAAAAGCUGAAAAAGUUGUGACGGCGAUGAAAGGACUGAAAGAUUUGCUCGAAGCAAAGACAUCUAGCCGAGAUACAUAUGGCAAGAAUCUUCAGAGAUUGACUUCUUUUCAGCUGCUAUUGAGAUAUAUACUUGCUCAUAGGUCACAACUCAAGUUACUAACUUACCUGCACAUACAGUAGUGAUAAGUCGACAUAAUUUUUCUGAGAACCUAUUUUUUUAAUAUGACAGCAUUCUACCUGCCCUGUGUUCUCUUUUAUGAUAUUUUUUGCUCUUCAUGCAUUUUGUAGCAACGAAGAGGAGGGAUCUUAUGUAUAAUAUGCGACAUCCAUGGUGCUGAAGGUGUGCUAUUAAGUCUCAGUUACUCCUGCAAAAUAGCAUCUUAAUAAACAAAGGAUAUGCACCGCCAAGCAGUUUGUUGUGUAUUUUUUUCCCUUCCAACCUUAUUGAUAUGCCUGUUGCUCAAGGUGUUUUUACUUGUUUACCUGAUUAACAAAUGAAUAUAAAUUUAAAACACAGGUUAAUAAAUUUAGCGCAGUCCUUGCUGAAAUCCGUAUUUUUAUAUGUUGACUUUCCUUUGAAUAAUAUAAGUUGGUCUUGUUGCUGCAAAUGAUUGGAUACACUAAAUUCUUUCUCAUGCAUGCAAGUUGAUUUGGUUAUCCUGUAAUACAUUAUUACGUUUAGUUAAAAAUUUAUGUUUUGUAAUUCAGAUAGGAAACAAUGGUUUGUGAUAGUGCCCUUGCUUGUGACAGAGCAUCUUUUUUUAGUCAUUCAUAGAUGUGUGGGAGGGCUGGCCGUCCACCAUUUGAUGAUAGUAGAACAGUUGUAAUUAUGACAAGACGAGAGGCAGUAAUUUUUCUGUGUUUUCCUCCCGUUAAUUCUGAAAUACCUUUGACAGGAAAAUGUUUCCUGUUUUUGGUCUAACCCGUCGUAAGUUUGUCUCGUGGGUCCAUCUAUAUGAGAACCUUCUCAGUGGGUGUCAAAUGGUUAGUCUCGGUAUGUUCUUUUAAGUUUAGUUGAAAAGUUCUUACGUGAUAUUUUAACUGAAACUUAACUAUGUCAUGGCUGGUACUUCAUUUGAGACUCUUGGCUGAGUAUAGAUACUAUGACCAGACCUUCUGUCUUGAUUCUUAAUACCUUCUUCGUUUUAGUCUCCAUCUACAUGUGCAAUUCAUUAUUUUCCUAGAGAUGUCUAUAUAACCGUAUCAUGCAUUAUUUUUCUGCUAUGUAAAUAACACUUACCUUGGCUUUGGCGGUGGUGGUGCAGGAUUCGUCGCACGCCAAACAGAGCACCCGAGGAGAUGCUCUGAAGAGAGGAAAUGAUAUGUUUUUUUUUUGUUUUAAGAGAAGAUAGGAGUCGAUAUGUUGUCCCCUGACUUCUAUACUGAUCCACAACACUUCACAAAAGAGUAUAUAUCAAGAUAUGUAGUCCCCUGACUUCUAUACUAUUACUGAUCCACAACACUUCACAAAAGAGUAUAUAUCAACAUCGUAUGCUACAAAUAAAAAGCAAAGUAAUCUCUUUUAGUUCUUGGUUCAAAUUCGUCUUCGCACCAAAUGGCGCGACAGGUCAUCUAGUCGAACAACAUGGCUAGGCAACCUGCCAUUCUA
Molecule: long non-coding RNA, 4181 nt
Filed under: Triticum aestivum (bread wheat)
Lineage: Eukaryota; Viridiplantae; Streptophyta; Magnoliopsida; Poales; Poaceae
Description: long non-coding RNA (TAES_LNC021316)
Source: RNAcentral